Molecule: transfer RNA, 44 nt
Filed under: Takifugu fasciatus (obscure pufferfish)
Lineage: Eukaryota; Metazoa; Chordata; Actinopteri; Tetraodontiformes; Tetraodontidae
Description: partial tRNA-Thr
Source: RNAcentral
AUUCUUGUAAACCGAAUGUCGGGGGUUAAAAUCCCCCCUUAUGC